GUUUGUUAUAUGAGUGAGUAUGGUUUUAUGCUGAGUGAAGCAACUGCAAACCAAGAAACAGGGUGCUAUGGAGUAGUAUAAUGUAGGAGGCUGUCCGAGGUGGAUGACAACUGACAUGCAUCGUGACGUCGGUUACCAAGGGGGCAGACGAGCAAGGCGUAGUGACGUCAUGCAAAAAGUGUACUACAGAACAA
This is a long non-coding RNA of Haliotis rubra (blacklip abalone), 194 nucleotides long. RefSeq lists it as uncharacterized. Lineage: Eukaryota; Metazoa; Mollusca; Gastropoda; Lepetellida; Haliotidae. The record is from RefSeq and is a predicted model, not a curated record. The transcript has 3 exons.